Cervus elaphus (red deer) is the source of this 160-nucleotide long non-coding RNA. RefSeq lists it as uncharacterized. The record is from RefSeq and is a predicted model, not a curated record. The transcript is spliced from 3 exons. NCBI's taxonomy places the organism in Eukaryota, Metazoa, Chordata, Mammalia, Artiodactyla, Cervidae.
UGAGAUGAUAUCUCAUUGUGGUUUUGAUUUGCAUUUCUCUAAUAAUGAGCAAUGUUGAACAUCUUUUCAUGUGUUUAUUAGCCAUCUGUAUGUCUUUGAAGAAAUGUCUGUUUAGGCCUUCUGCCCACUGUUUGAUUGGGUUGUUAUUGUGAUGUUGAGC